GUUUGUUGAGUCGUGAGGUAAAGGGACAUUCGAGUUACAGUGGGAGGAGGAAAUCAAUAAUUCCACAUUAAAUGUGAGAGGUACAUUAUUGCUCCAGUGUGCUAGUCUUGAAAAUGGGCAUGCUUGUGACGAUAGAAGCCAUUUAGAGUCAGAGAUGAACACAUGGUCACCUCUUCAUGUUAUCAGAAAACAAGCUAAAUCCAAAGAUUGAAGAAUGUUGUCAGGUAUAAAUCUUCUUUACAAGUUAAUGA
Papaver somniferum (opium poppy) is the source of this 251-nucleotide long non-coding RNA. RefSeq lists it as uncharacterized. NCBI's taxonomy places the organism in Eukaryota, Viridiplantae, Streptophyta, Magnoliopsida, Ranunculales, Papaveraceae. The record is from RefSeq and is a predicted model, not a curated record. The transcript is spliced from 3 exons.